This is a long non-coding RNA of Clupea harengus (Atlantic herring), 428 nucleotides long. The record is from Ensembl. Lineage: Eukaryota; Metazoa; Chordata; Actinopteri; Clupeiformes; Clupeidae.
UGCUGAUCACAAACAAUUACACACAAAGACAAAGGAAAAGCCCAAGGCUUACAUAGGAGCUCAGUGAAUACAUUGGUUACAGGUGAGAACUAAACUUAAUUAAUACAUAGGCUACAGGUGAGAACUCAAUUAAAUUAACACAUUGGCUACAGGUGAGAACCAAACAUGGAGGGAAAACUAAGGUGUGAGGGAAAUACUAAACACAGGAGAGGAUGAACGGACUGGAGUAGCAUAUGGAGCAAGAGCAGGAACAGGAACAGAGGAGCGUGCAGCAGAGGAGCAUGCACAGGCUGUAAACGUGCUCACGAGAGAGCAAAGAAAAUAUACAGGGUGGAGUGGACGUUGUGAGAGAAGAUGAGAGGAGCAAACACGGAGGAAAUGGGUAAUGCAACAUCAAACUAUAUCUGUAUAAACGGUAUUGUCUCAUC